GUUUGAACCCGUGAGGCUGAGGUUGUGGUGAGCCAAGAUCGUGCCAUUAUGGUCUAGCCUGGGCAACAAGAGCAAAAUUCCUUCUCAAAAAGUAAAACAAAACCAAAGAUCUAAGGAAGCAACGGGUCCAAGAAUAGGGAACAACAGGUCCAAAGGCCCUGAGGUAUGAGCCAGCUUAGCUGCUAUGUGUGUGCAUUUGUGUUUUGUUUUCCUUGUUCUUAAUUUUCUAAUUUAUUUCUAUUUUAGAGUACCAACACUUAUUUUAUCAUUAUUUUACUGCCUAUAUACUUUGUGCCCAUUGUCUUCGAUCCAUUAUGAAAUGAAGCAAGCCAGUUUAAAGAUCAAAUGGUUUUAACAGGAUACUAGUCUUCAUAUGCAGCUCUGUAGCAUUCUGCAACAAUUUUUUUUAAUCUAGAAGAAUUUAAAUUAAUUAUAUAUGUGGCCAGAAUUACGCAUCAUUGUUCUAACCUUAACUCAAAUCAAAUGUCCCAAAGUUAUCUAUAAGUUUAGAUAUUAGCUCAAUAUUUUUAACUAGGAAGAUCUCCCCAAAAAACUGUCUGUUCAAGUACUUAUGGCUUCAGGCAGAGAAGGGCUCUUCAGGCAGUCUUGGCGCCAUCACCCUGGUGAUGAGUGAGUUCU
This 639-nucleotide long non-coding RNA is filed under the name Pan troglodytes (chimpanzee). RNAcentral's name for it is "long non-coding RNA NONPTRT009125". The record is from RNAcentral. Lineage: Eukaryota; Metazoa; Chordata; Mammalia; Primates; Hominidae.